Molecule: ribosomal RNA, 400 nt
Filed under: uncultured Planctomycetota bacterium
Lineage: Bacteria; Pseudomonadati; Planctomycetota
Description: bacterial SSU rRNA
Rfam family: Bacterial small subunit ribosomal RNA
Source: RNAcentral
AUUGAACGCUGGCGGCAUGGUUAAACAUGCAAGUCGAACGCGAAAGUACCUUCGGGUGCGAGUAGAGUGGCGAAAGGGCGAGGAAUACGUUCCUACGUACCCCAAGGCUGGGGAUAGCUCAGGGAAACCUGGGGUAAUACCCGAUACGGUGCUUCGGCAUCAAAGGCUUGCCACCUUGGGAGCGGGGAACGUCCUAUCAGGUAGUUGGUGAGGUAAAGGCUCACCAAGCCGAAGACGGGUAGCGGGUGUGAGAGCAUGACCCGCCGCAUCGGAACUGAGACACUGUCCGGACUCCUACGGGAGGCUGCAGUAACGAAUAUUCCGCAAUGCGCGAAAGCGUGACGGGGCAAUGCCGCGUGUGGGAUGAAGCCCUUCGGGGUGUAAACCACUGUCAGGGUUU